AUUACUUUUAGAAAAUGGCCACAGGCUGCCAAAGACUUAGUUUGUCAGUAGUUCAUGGUAUGGUAAAAUUAAUAAGAUAUUAUUACACUUCCUAUUUACCAUAUUUUUUAUAAAUAAAGUAGUAUAUCAUAAUCUUGUUUUAUCAUUGCAAUGUAGGAUGUUUACAAAUUUAGAACAAGAGCUGAUGAGGUUUCGGCAAGGCACAUUUCUGAGAAAUGUGCUUCAGAUCGACUUAGUGAUCUUUUAA
This 247-nucleotide long non-coding RNA is filed under the name Elaeis guineensis (African oil palm). RNAcentral's name for it is "long non-coding RNA (EGUI_LNC009748)". The record is from RNAcentral. Lineage: Eukaryota; Viridiplantae; Streptophyta; Magnoliopsida; Arecales; Arecaceae.